Molecule: long non-coding RNA, 351 nt
Filed under: Lathyrus oleraceus (garden pea)
Lineage: Eukaryota; Viridiplantae; Streptophyta; Magnoliopsida; Fabales; Fabaceae
Description: Pisum sativum (pea) long non-coding RNA (PSAT_LNC034361)
Source: RNAcentral
UUUCUUGAGCACGAGGUCACCUUCUCAGAACACUUGAGGCUUGACCUUCUUAUCGAAUGCUUUCUUCAUUCUCUGCUGAUAUAACUGACCAUGGCACAUGGCAGUUAAUCACUUCUCUUCAAUUAAAUUCAGCUGGUCAUAACGACUCUGAACCCAUUCAGCAUCAGUCAACUUGGGGUUUGAGGGUAUACUUUUCUUUUAUUUUUCUUUCUUUUUUAUUUUGAUUUUGAUUUUUUUAUUUUUCACCCCCUAUUUUUUUUUAUUACAUUUGUAAUGCCCCAGUUUGACUGUUUCUGGGUUCUCGAGAUGCGGCUGAAUGAUCUUCUUUUCGUGCUCAAGGAGACGAGUGAU